This 482-nucleotide ribosomal RNA is filed under the name uncultured bacterium. RNAcentral's name for it is "bacterial SSU rRNA". It matches the Rfam family "Bacterial small subunit ribosomal RNA", at positions 28 to 524 of the family's 1533-position model. The record is from RNAcentral.
GACGAACGCUGGCGGCGUGCUUAACACAUGCAAGUCGAACGAUGAACCGGAGCUUGCUCCGGGGAUUAGUGGCGAACGGUGAGUAACACGUGGGCAACCUGCCCCAGACAUCGGGAUAACCAUUCGAAAGGAUGGCUAAUACCGGAUAUGACCUCUUCGGGCAUCCGAUGGUGGUGGAAAGGAUUCUGGUCUGGGAUGGGCCCGCGGCCUAUCAGCUAGUUGGUGGGGUAAUGGCCUACCAAGGCGACGACGGGUAGCCGGCCUGAGAGGGCGACCGGCCACACUGGGACUGAGACACGGCCCAGACUCCUACGGGAGGCAGCAGUGGGGAAUAUUGCGCAAUGGGCGAAAGCCUGACGCAGCGACGCCGCGUAAGGGACGAAGGUCUUCGGAUUGUAAACCUCUUUCAGCAGGGACGAAGCGAAAGUGACUGUACCUGCAGAAGAAGCACCGGCUAACUACGUGCCAGCAGCCGCGGUAAU